Molecule: transfer RNA, 74 nt
Filed under: Eubacterium sp.
Lineage: Bacteria; Bacillati; Bacillota; Clostridia; Eubacteriales; Eubacteriaceae
Description: tRNA-Glu
Rfam family: tRNA
About the family: Transfer RNA (tRNA) molecules are approximately 80 nucleotides in length.
Source: RNAcentral
GGUCCCAUCGAAUAAAUGGUUAGUUCGUCGGCCCUUCAAGUCGGAAAUGUCGGGUUCGAGCCCCACUGGGAUCA